This 104-nucleotide small nuclear RNA is filed under the name Carlito syrichta (Philippine tarsier). Lineage: Eukaryota; Metazoa; Chordata; Mammalia; Primates; Tarsiidae. The record is from RNAcentral.
GUGCUACUUUGGCAGUACAUAUACUGAUUUUGGAACAAUACAGAGAAGAUUUGUGUGGCUUCUGCACAAGGAUGAUGCACGUUUGUGAAGUGUUCUAUGUUUUU